UUACAUUGAAGCCUAGCGAUAUGUAAGUUAGUGGCGGACGGGUGAGUAACGCGUGGGUAACCUGCCUUGUACUGGGGGACAACAGUUGGAAACGACUGCUAAUACCGCAUGAGCGCACAGAGCUGCAUGGCUCGGUGUGAAAAACUCCGGUGGUAUGGGAUGGGCCCGCGUCUGAUUAGCUGGUUGGUGAGGUAACGGCCCACCAAGGCGACGAUCAGUAGCCGGACUGAGAGGUUGAACGGCCACAUUGGGACUGAGAUACGGCCCAGACUCC
RNAcentral lists this ribosomal RNA (274 nucleotides) under uncultured Eubacteriales bacterium. RNAcentral describes it as "uncultured Clostridiales bacterium partial 16S ribosomal RNA". It matches the Rfam family "Bacterial small subunit ribosomal RNA", at positions 52 to 339 of the family's 1533-position model. The record is from RNAcentral. Lineage: Bacteria; Bacillati; Bacillota; Clostridia; Eubacteriales.